AGAAAACAAAUGUAAAUCGCCUUAGAGUCAAUGGCUGGAGCUGCAGGGCUUGACUAUGCAAAGCAGAGGUGGGAAGGCCAGUCCAUCAUCUGUCCUCUGUCUUCACAAUGGCCAGUGUCCAGAUAUUUGGAAAUACGAGAUGGUUGACAACGUUUCCUCUUCUGCUGCAGCUCCUUCAGCACACAAUCAGCAGGUCAUUAGCGUAUCGUUCAAAUCGCCCCGAACUCAGGAUGGAACCCCAGGGACCUGAAGGCAGAAUAGACUGAAGAGAAGAUGUGGUGUUGCUGACAGUUACUUCUGAUGGCAGUUAAAAAGGCUUCUUAAAGAAACAAGGAUAUCCUUCUAGAACAAUGGUCACACAAAAAAGCAAAAUGAGGAAAGUCAAGGACCAUGCCUACCUCAAUCUCCAUCAAGAACUCAGAGACCUGAGAUCUUAUGAAAUGGGUCCAGGCCAACAGGGUAA
Long non-coding RNA from Myotis daubentonii (Daubenton's bat), 463 nucleotides. RefSeq lists it as uncharacterized. The record is from RefSeq and is a predicted model, not a curated record. Lineage: Eukaryota; Metazoa; Chordata; Mammalia; Chiroptera; Vespertilionidae.